Bolinopsis microptera is the source of this 3320-nucleotide long non-coding RNA. RefSeq lists it as uncharacterized. Lineage: Eukaryota; Metazoa; Ctenophora; Tentaculata; Lobata; Bolinopsidae. The transcript is spliced from 2 exons. The record is from RefSeq and is a predicted model, not a curated record.
AAGCUCCCAAGGCUAUUUAUUACUUACUCUUUUGGUUCUCCGGUCCAUUUGACAACACUUUUUGGGCACUCAAAUUCGUAUUCCUUGGCCAAUUUUUAAAUUUUUCAUGCUGAUUUGAAGGCCAUUAAAGCAUUUGAACCAGUCGAAAAAUUUUAAGUUGUAUAUCUUUUACGGUUUUUGUGGGAAGUCGUGUUAAAGUUGAUGCCGUGGUGUUAGUAAAAUGGUACCCUUAUAAAAGCUCAGAUUUAUUUUCUGACAGAAAGCUAGAAAUAAUCCAAAAUAUCAAAAUUGUUCUACACUCAUUUUAAUGACAGUUCAUGACCUUAAAUUGCACGAGAAAUUUAUUAAAUUCGGAUUCAGAGUUCCUUAUGCCUUAAACUUCAGGUUUUACCAAUGUGGCCCAGGUUAUCUCGUGUCAAAUGACUGAAAAAAGAACACCAACAAAAACCUGCCUCCGUUUAUAACUGACUAGAAACCCGCUAGUCGAAAGCUUUGUUCGAGGAAAUUAAAAAAAUUAUUUAUGUUUAAAUUUAUCUAGUCUCUUCACAUCACCAUUUAGCUCAAAGCUCUUUACUGUAGAAAGUAUGGAUUUUAUUUGACAAUGACGAAAACGUUGUAAGUAUUCGGUCAUCAAAAUGAGUUUAUAACAAGGUCGAUAUUUUGGUAAAUUUUUUUUCUGUCAUAAGUUGAAUUUGGGUUUCUAUAGGGGGUAAUAGAGAUAUGCUACAGUACAGUACUUACAUUCACAUUCACAACCACGGGAGCUCACCUGGUCCAAUGAGCGCGAAACGGAGAACAAGCUCUGGAUACGUCACAGUCACGUGACCUCAGGCUCACAAUAACGUGACCUCAGACCCAAUCAACUGACUUCUGGCCUGGUCAGCCAUUGGGAGACUUUGGGUCAGAAAACUGAUCCGGCCCCCAAGAGGGGUCAGAUCACGUCACUAAUUAAUGACGUAUAAUUAGUGAUGUGAUCCAUAGAUUAAAUAUAAUUAACACAGAAAUGGACUAGAUCUGGGGUAGAGUUCACAUGUCAAUUCUGUAAAUCAUAGCUGUACAUUAAGAAGUAAACAUGAUCUGACUGCUCGACUCGUAGAUCACAUAAGGGACGGGAGCUCUUGCUAAAGGGGGGUUCUCGUAUCAAGGGAUGUGAGACGUACUUGCCAAAGGCAUGUAAGGAGAGUGAGCCGAUCAAGUGUUCUUAGGUAUAUAUACUGGAAGAUAGUAGUAUCGCAGGUAGUAGUAUCGCAUUCUAUCAACAGUCAUGCCUACCUUCUCUAGUUGUGGACACAACAAGAAAAUUGAGAAUAAUCUUGUGCGAGGGUAGGGACCCAGAUGUCGUUUCUAACCCAAAUAAACUUUAAGGAGGCUUCUCAUCAGUAGCCGCACCUCCUUACUCGGUUUCUGAACUGGAAUUCUAUGGGCUUCCAGACGGCCAGACCGAGUAUUACCAUCCCAUCCUUCUAGAGUUCAUCACAAGUAGCACCCACCUUGAAGAUCUUUGACACCCAGACACACCCCAUUGGCGAACAAACUUUGGAUAUAAUCUUACAUGCUCCCGAAGGAAUCCCUGGUUUAUGGUCUUUCUCAUCGUCACCAGCACUUUCACUAGGUCACCAGCUCUUUCACUGAAGUCAUCAGCCCUUUCACUGAAGUCAUCAGAUGUGACUCUGAUCAACGGUAUAGUUGUGGACACAACAAGAAAAUUGAGAAUAAUCUUGUGCGAGGGUAGGGACCCAGAUGUCGUUUCUAACCCAAAUAAACUUUAAGGAGGCUUCUCAUCAGUAGCCGCACCUCCUUACUCGGUUUCUGAACUGGAAUUCUAUGGGCUUCCAGACGGCCAGACCGAGUAUUACCAUCCCAUCCUUCUAGAGUUCAUCACAAGUAGCACCCACCUUGAAGAUUUUUGACACCCAGACAGUGUCUGGCAGACACACCCCAUUGGCGAACAAACUUUGGAUAUAAUCUUACAUGCUCCCGAAGGAAUACCCAACAAAGAUUGAGUACUUGUUCGCUGUUGCGAAAUACUUUGGUAAUAAUAUUGAGUAAUUUGUUGUAUUCUGAAGUAUUAUAUUAUUAAUCGAUUUAACAUUUUAUAACCAACCAAUACAUUGUCUCAAUUUAAAACAUCCAUGGAUCACAUCACUAAUUAUACGCCACAAGCUUCAAGCUUGCACGUUAAUUAAUUGAUGACGUAUAUUGUGGUCAUAUCACUUCUGACCCAAGGUCUGGCAGUCAGCUCCCUGUAAUUACAUGAUCUUGAGGUGACGUACGACACCUCGCUGCAAAUUUUCACAUGCCAAAAACGUAAGAUUCUUAAGGAGUUGUGCGAGAUGACGAUACAUAGAGGCCGCAGAAUCAUGAGGACUACCAGAUCCUCAUGGUUGAACCUAAGCGAUCCAUGAUAUCACGACAAGUCCUACUAUACGGCUACAGUAAACAAUGAUCAUUAUACUUUCUGCACCAGCAAUACACAAUAUCCAACUCAAAACAGGUAUCUAUUGUAAUUCGUGUUAUGAUGCAAAAAAUUACACGUCAGUGUUGAAGGGUUGGGCGGGGUCAAUCAUGAGGCAAAAUGGUGUUCGUGCAUAGCCAGGCCUUGAAGGCCAAAAAGUUAGAAGGUGUGUUUUAAUUGUUUUAUCAACAAACAUUUUUGGCCACAGUUCAUAGAGCAAUACUGUUUUAGAUUAUGUUAACAAUUUCUUAACCGUUGUAUCCACAAUCUGAAUUAUCAUAUCGAUACCACCUUUCUUUCAUACUCAUGAAAUCAAUAUAACGAUCGCAAUACAGAUAUCAAGGAGCUAUGAUGAUGAUGAUGAAGAUUGUGGCAGUAUUUCUACUCGUGGCUGGAUUUAAUGCUCAAUCACAAACACCACCAUGUGUUAAUAAAUUUGACACUAUGAAUGGUUUUGAAAACAUGUGUAAUAUACAUAUUACACUUGGGCAAGGAAACUGCCUAGGAGCAAAAGAAGAAACACUUAGAGAAAAUUGCGCUAAAGCUUGCGGUUUCUGCUAUUAGCUAACUGGGUGCUAAGUGCAGAUACCUCUAAUGAUGACGUGAUCACGUUAUACUUGCUCUAACAUGCAGUAGCGCGGGACCGCAGUACGCGUAGACACAUGUGUGAUCACGUGAUACCUGAUGGGUGGAGGUUACGAGGACAAUUAUUCAUUGUUAUCUUAAUCAAUGGGCACAAUAAGUUGAUUUCUGUAAUCAUAGCUUACAAUCUUAUAAUGUGUUUAAAACGAUUCCGUAUUACUAUACUAUUCUUCUAAACUGUAACAAUUUUCCUGUAUUUGAUGCUUUUAGCAUUUGAAUUUAA